This 90-nucleotide transfer RNA is filed under the name Pseudoxanthomonas helianthi. RNAcentral's name for it is "tRNA-Ser". It matches the Rfam family "tRNA". From Rfam's summary of the family: Transfer RNA (tRNA) molecules are approximately 80 nucleotides in length. Their secondary structure includes four short double-helical elements and three loops (D, anti-codon, and T loops). Further hydrogen bonds mediate the characteristic L-shaped molecular structure. tRNAs have two regions of fundamental functional importance: the anti-codon, which is responsible for specific mRNA codon recognition, and the 3' end, to which the tRNAs corresponding amino acid is attached (by aminoacyl-tRNA synthetases). tRNAs cope with the degeneracy of the genetic code in two manners: having more than one tRNA (with a specific anti-codon) for a particular amino acid; and 'wobble' base-pairing, i.e. permitting non-standard base-pairing at the 3rd anti-codon position. Lineage: Bacteria; Pseudomonadati; Pseudomonadota; Gammaproteobacteria; Lysobacterales; Lysobacteraceae. RNAcentral also lists the same sequence under 2 other names. The record is from RNAcentral.
GGAAGGAUGGCCGAGCGGUUUAAGGCACCGGUCUUGAAAACCGGCGAUGGGUCAAACCAUCCGUGGGUUCGAAUCCCACUCCUUCCGCCA